AUUGAACGCUGGCGGCAGGCUUAACACAUGCAAGUCGAGCGGGGUGAUGGUGCUUGCACUAUCACUUAGCGGCGGACGGGUGAGUAAUGCUUAGGAAUCUGCCUAUUAGUGGGGGACAACAUCUCGAAAGGGAUGCCAAUACCGCAUACGUCCUACGGGAGAAAGCAGGGGAUCACGUGUGUCCUUGCGUGAAUAGAUGAGCCUAAGUAGGAUUAGCUAGUUGGUGGGGUAAAGGCCUACCAAGGCGACGAUCUGUAGCGGGUCUGAGAGGAUGAUCCGCCACACUGGGACUGAGACACGGCCCAGACUCCUACGGGAGGCAGCAGUGGGGAAUAUUGGACAAUGGGGGGAACCCUGAUCCAGACAUGCCGCGUGUGUGAAGAAGGCCUUAUGGUUGUAAAGCACUUUAAGCGAGGAGGAGGCUCUUUUGGUUAAUACCCAAGAUGAGUGGACGUUACUCGCAGAAUAAGCACCGGCUAACUCUGUGCCAGCCGCCGCGGUAA
This 503-nucleotide ribosomal RNA is filed under the name uncultured bacterium. RNAcentral's name for it is "partial 16S ribosomal RNA". It matches the Rfam family "Bacterial small subunit ribosomal RNA", at positions 30 to 523 of the family's 1533-position model. The record is from RNAcentral.